AAUACUUAGAAUAUUUUUAAAUAUUACCUGCAUUAGAAUACUGUGGCCUUUCCCUUCAAGCAGUGUCAUCAUAUAUCAGCAGUCUGCGGAUGAAGAGAGGAAAAGUGAGGAAAAAACUCAUUGGAAGGUGCAGGACCAUCUACUCUAAGGUCAGCUACUGUUUUUCUGCCAUGAAGUGACGGGGAUCUAUCCAGUCUUCUUAAAGACUGGAUCUAAAAGAAGGACCUACCUCUUCCAGCCUUUGCUUGGGUGAGUGUUCUUAGUGUGAGGGAUCAGAGUC
RNAcentral lists this long non-coding RNA (280 nucleotides) under Taeniopygia guttata (zebra finch). RNAcentral's name for it is "lncRNA (ENSTGUG00000026139.1)". Lineage: Eukaryota; Metazoa; Chordata; Aves; Passeriformes; Estrildidae. The record is from RNAcentral.